UACGUAGGUGGCAAGCGUUGUCCGGAUUUAUUGGGCGUAAAGCGCGCGCAGGCGGUCUACCUAAGUCUGAUGUGAAAUCUCGUGGCUCAACCACGAGCGGUCAUUGGAAACUGGGAGACUUGAGUACAGAAGAGGAGAGUGGAAUUCCACGUGUAGCGGUGAAAUGCGUAGAUAUGUGGAGGAACACCAGUGGCGAAGGCGACUCUCUGGUCUGUAACUGACGCUGAGGCGCGAAAGCGUGGGGAGCGAACAGG
Molecule: ribosomal RNA, 254 nt
Filed under: uncultured bacterium
Lineage: Bacteria
Description: partial 16S ribosomal RNA
Rfam family: Bacterial small subunit ribosomal RNA
Source: RNAcentral